GGAUGCGAUCAUACCAGCACUAAAGCACCGGAUCCCAUCAGAACUCCGAAGUUGAGCGUGCUUGGGCGAGAGUAGUACUAGGAUGGGUGACCUCCUGGGAAGUCCUCGUGUUGCAUACC
Molecule: ribosomal RNA, 119 nt
Filed under: Triticum aestivum (bread wheat)
Lineage: Eukaryota; Viridiplantae; Streptophyta; Magnoliopsida; Poales; Poaceae
Source: RNAcentral